GAUGAACGCUGGCGGCGUGCCUAAUACAUGCAAGUAGAACGCUGAAGGAGGAGCUUGCUCUUCUGGAUGAGUUGCGAACGGGUGAGUAACGCGUAGGUAACCUGCCUGGUAGCGGGGGAUAACUAUUGGAAACGAUAGCUAAUACCGCAUGACAACAGUUAUUGCAUGAUAACUGUUUAAAAGGGGCAACUGCUCCACUACCAGAUGGACCUGCGUUGUAUUAGCUAGUUGGUGAGGUAACGGCUCACCAAGGCGACGAUACAUAGCCGACCUGAGAGGGGGAUCGGCCACACUGGGACUGAGACACGGCCCAGACGCCUACGGGAGGCAGCAGUAGGGAAUCUUCGGCAAUGGACGGAAGUCUGACCGAGCAACGCCGCGUGAGUGAAGAAGGUUUUCGGAUCGUAAAGCCCUGUUGUAAGAGAAGAACGAGUGUGAGAGUGGAAAGUUCACACUGUGACGGUAUCUUACCAGAAAGGGACGGCUAACUACGUG
RNAcentral lists this ribosomal RNA (495 nucleotides) under uncultured bacterium. Its description in RNAcentral is "partial 16S ribosomal RNA". It matches the Rfam family "Bacterial small subunit ribosomal RNA", at positions 28 to 507 of the family's 1533-position model. The record is from RNAcentral.